RNAcentral lists this ribosomal RNA (253 nucleotides) under uncultured Eubacteriales bacterium. RNAcentral describes it as "uncultured Clostridiales bacterium partial 16S ribosomal RNA". It matches the Rfam family "Bacterial small subunit ribosomal RNA", at positions 524 to 776 of the family's 1533-position model. The record is from RNAcentral. Lineage: Bacteria; Bacillati; Bacillota; Clostridia; Eubacteriales.
UACGUAGGAGGCAAGCGUUAUCCGGAAUGACUGGGCGUAAAGGGUGCGUAGGUGGUUCAGCAAGUUAGUAGCGUAACUCCGGGGCUCAACCUCGGCACUACUACUAAAACUGUUGGACUUGAGUGCAGGAGGGGCAACUGGAAUUCCUAGUGUAGCGGUAAAAUGCGUAGAUAUAUGGAAGAACACCGGUGGCGAAGGCGGCUUGCUGGGCCUGUACUGACAUUGAGGCACGAAAGCGUGGGGAGCAAACAGG